This 58-nucleotide transfer RNA is filed under the name Parabacteroides distasonis. RNAcentral's name for it is "tRNA-Phe". It matches the Rfam family "tRNA", at positions 8 to 63 of the family's 71-position model. From Rfam's summary of the family: Transfer RNA (tRNA) molecules are approximately 80 nucleotides in length. Their secondary structure includes four short double-helical elements and three loops (D, anti-codon, and T loops). Further hydrogen bonds mediate the characteristic L-shaped molecular structure. tRNAs have two regions of fundamental functional importance: the anti-codon, which is responsible for specific mRNA codon recognition, and the 3' end, to which the tRNAs corresponding amino acid is attached (by aminoacyl-tRNA synthetases). tRNAs cope with the degeneracy of the genetic code in two manners: having more than one tRNA (with a specific anti-codon) for a particular amino acid; and 'wobble' base-pairing, i.e. permitting non-standard base-pairing at the 3rd anti-codon position. Lineage: Bacteria; Pseudomonadati; Bacteroidota; Bacteroidia; Bacteroidales; Tannerellaceae. The record is from RNAcentral.
UAGCUCAGUUGGUAGAGCAAAGGACUGAAAAUCCUUGUGUCCCCGGUUCGAUUCCUGG